Molecule: ribosomal RNA, 1131 nt
Filed under: Staphylococcus aureus
Lineage: Bacteria; Bacillati; Bacillota; Bacilli; Caryophanales; Staphylococcaceae
Description: partial 23S ribosomal RNA
Rfam family: Bacterial large subunit ribosomal RNA
Source: RNAcentral
UAAGGGCGCACGGUGGAUGCCUUGGCACUAGAAGCCGAUGAAGGACGUUACUAACGACGAUAUGCUUUGGGGAGCUGUAAGUAAGCUUUGAUCCAGAGAUUUCCGAAUGGGGAAACCCAGCAUGAGUUAUGUCAUGUUAUCGAUAUGUGAAUACAUAGCAUAUCAGAAGGCACACCCGGAGAACUGAAACAUCUUAGUACCCGGAGGAAGAGAAAGAAAAUUCGAUUCCCUUAGUAGCGGCGAGCGAAACGGGAAGAGCCCAAACCAACAAGCUUGCUUGUUGGGGUUGUAGGACACUCUAUACGGAGUUACAAAGGACGACAUUAGACGAAUCAUCUGGAAAGAUGAAUCAAAGAAGGUAAUAAUCCUGUAGUCGAAAAUGUUGUCUCUCUUGAGUGGAUCCUGAGUACGACGGAGCACGUGAAAUUCCGUCGGAAUCUGGGAGGACCAUCUCCUAAGGCUAAAUACUCUCUAGUGACCGAUAGUGAACCAGUACCGUGAGGGAAAGGUGAAAAGCACCCCGGAAGGGGAGUGAAAUAGAACCUGAAACCGUGUGCUUACAAGUAGUCAGAGCCCGUUAAUGGGUGAUGGCGUGCCUUUUGUAGAAUGAACCGGCGAGUUACGAUUUGAUGCAAGGUUAAGCAGUAAAUGUGGAGCCGUAGCGAAAGCGAGUCUGAAUAGGGCGUUUAGUAUUUGGUCGUAGACCCGAAACCAGGUGAUCUACCCUUGGUCAGGUUGAAGUUCAGGUAACACUGAAUGGAGGACCGAACCGACUUACGUUGAAAAGUGAGCGGAUGAACUGAGGGUAGCGGAGAAAUUCCAAUCGAACCUGGAGAUAGCUGGUUCUCUCCGAAAUAGCUUUAGGGCUAGCCUCAAGUGAUGAUUAUUGGAGGUAGAGCACUGUUUGGACGAGGGGCCCCUCUCGGGUUACCGAAUUCAGACAAACUCCGAAUGCCAAUUAAUUUAACUUGGGAGUCAGAACAUGGGUGAUAAGGUCCGUGUUCGAAAGGGAAACAGCCCAGACCACCAGCUAAGGUCCCAAAAUAUAUGUUAAGUGGAAAAGGAUGUGGCGUUGCCCAGACAACUAGGAUGUUGGCUUAGAAGCAGCCAUCAUUUAAAGAGUGCGUAAUA